This 440-nucleotide ribosomal RNA is filed under the name uncultured bacterium. RNAcentral's name for it is "partial 16S ribosomal RNA". It matches the Rfam family "Bacterial small subunit ribosomal RNA", at positions 338 to 795 of the family's 1533-position model. The record is from RNAcentral.
CCUACGGGAGGCAGCAGUGGGGAAUAUUGCACAAUGGGGGAAACCCUGAUGCAGCGACGCCGCGUGAGUGAAGAAGUAAUUCGUUAUGUAAAGCUCUAUCAGCAGGGAAGAAAAUGACGGUACCUGAGUAAGAAGCCCCGGCUAACUACGUGCCAGCAGCCGCGGUAAUACGUAGGGGGCAAGCGUUAUCCGGAUUUACUGGGUGUAACGGGAGCGUAGACGGCAGUGCAAGUCUGGAGUGAAAGGCGGGGGCUCAACCCCCGGAAUGCUCUGGAAACUGUACGGCUGGAGUGCAGGAGAGGUAAGUGGAAUUCCUAGUGUAGCGGUGAAAUGCGUAGAUAUUAGGAGGAACACCAGUUGCGAAGGCGGCUUACUGGACUGUAACUGACGUUGAGGCUCGAAAGCGUGGGGAGCAAACAGGAUUAGAUACCCGUGUAGUC